Molecule: transfer RNA, 86 nt
Filed under: Ferruginibacter sp.
Lineage: Bacteria; Pseudomonadati; Bacteroidota; Chitinophagia; Chitinophagales; Chitinophagaceae
Description: tRNA-Leu
Rfam family: tRNA
About the family: Transfer RNA (tRNA) molecules are approximately 80 nucleotides in length. Their secondary structure includes four short double-helical elements and three loops (D, anti-codon, and T loops).
Source: RNAcentral
GCCCCGGUGGUGAAAUUGGUAGACACGCAGGACUUAAAAUCCUGUUUACAGCAAUGUAAGUAACGGUUCAACUCCGUUCCGGGGCA